GACGAACGCUGGCGGCAUGCCUAAUACAUGCAAGUCGAGCGAACAGAUGGAGUGCUUGCACUUCUGACGUUAGCGGCGAACGGGUGAGUAACACGUAAGGAAUCUACCUAUAAGCGGGGGAUAACAUUCGGAAACGGGUGCUAAUACCGCAUAAUAUCUUCUUCCGCAUGGAAGAAGAUUGAAAGACGGCUCUGCUGUCACUUAUAGAUGACCUUGCGGUGCAUUAGUUAGUUGGUGGGGUAACGGCCUACCAAGACGAUGAUGCAUAGCCGACCUGAGAGGGUGAUCGGCCACAUUGGGACUGAGACACGGCCCAAACUCCUACGGGAGGCAGCGGCAGGGAAUCUUCCGCAAUGGGCGAAAGCCUGACGGAGCAAUGCCGCGUGAGUGAAGAAGGCCUUCGGGUCGUAAAACUCUGUUAUAAGAGAAGAACAAAUUGUAGAGUAACUGCUACAGUCUUGACGGUAUCUUAUCAGAAAGCCACGGCUAACUACGUGCCAGCCGCCGCCGUAA
Molecule: ribosomal RNA, 513 nt
Filed under: uncultured bacterium
Lineage: Bacteria
Description: partial 16S ribosomal RNA
Rfam family: Bacterial small subunit ribosomal RNA
Source: RNAcentral